CACUCCUGCGGGAGGCAGCAGUGGGGAAUAUCGCACAAUGGGCGCAAGCCUGAUGCAGCCAUGCCGCGUGUAUGAAGAAGGCCUUCGGGUUGUAAAGUACUUUCAGCGGGGAGGAAGGCGAUAAGGUUAAUAACCUUGUCGAUUGACGUUACCCGCAGAAGAAGCACCGGCUAACUCCGUGCCAGCAGCCGCGGUAAUACGGAGGGUGCAAGCGUUAAUCGGAAUUACUGGGCGUAAAGCGCACGCAGGCGGUCUGUCAAGUCGGAUGUGAAAUCCCCGGGCUCAACCUGGGAACUGCAUUCGAAACUGGCAGGCUAGAGUCUUGUAGAGGGGGGUAGAAUUCCAGGUGUAGCGGUGAAAUGCGUAGAGAUCUGGAGGAAUACCGGUGGCGAAGGCGGCCCCCUGGACAAAGACUGACGCUCAGGUGCGAAAGCGUGGGGAGCAAACAGGAUUAGAUACCCUAGUAGUCCCA
Molecule: ribosomal RNA, 472 nt
Filed under: uncultured organism
Description: partial 16S ribosomal RNA
Rfam family: Bacterial small subunit ribosomal RNA
Source: RNAcentral